UCCUCCUUAGGCUCGAGUCGGUAGAGCGACGGACUGUUAAUCCGCAGGUCGCUGGUUCAAGUCCAGCAGGAGGAGCCA
RNAcentral lists this transfer RNA (78 nucleotides) under Vibrio metoecus. RNAcentral describes it as "tRNA-Asn". It matches the Rfam family "tRNA". Rfam says of the family: Transfer RNA (tRNA) molecules are approximately 80 nucleotides in length. Their secondary structure includes four short double-helical elements and three loops (D, anti-codon, and T loops). Lineage: Bacteria; Pseudomonadati; Pseudomonadota; Gammaproteobacteria; Vibrionales; Vibrionaceae. The record is from RNAcentral.